GGGGGGGGGGUUCGUGUGGAUUAGUCAUUAUUUUUCUAUGCUGUACUUUGUGUACUACUGUUCGUCUUUUUCUUUUUUAGCCAUAUUGUUGUUCUUUUAUUUUCAAUACAUUUAAGGAAUGACUGUAAUAUUUUUUCUGUCUAUGAAGAAAUAACAUAAAAAAUUUGGUGCACACUGAAUAACGCGCGUAGCGGGUUAUUUAACAGUGUGCACAACAUUUUUUUUGUUAUUUCGAAUAGACAGAAAAAAUAUUACAGUCAUUUCUUAAUUUAAUUCUAAAUUUCAUUUUAAACCGUAGAAAACCAUGAAAAAACGUUGAUGACAUCACGGUCACAUGACUAAAUUAUGUCUAUGGGCUCAUAACAAAAUAACGUCAGCCAAUCAGAAGACGCGUUACAUCCAAAAUUAAAUUAUAAGUUUGAAUGUCUCUCUAGUAUCUUUUGUCCCUUUUUAAAGACAGGAUGAAAAUGUAAAAUUGUUCAGAUUAACAGGUAUUAUGAUGAUCUGUGGUUGCUUAUAUCUACAUUUUU
RNAcentral lists this long non-coding RNA (530 nucleotides) under Mytilus galloprovincialis (Mediterranean mussel). Lineage: Eukaryota; Metazoa; Mollusca; Bivalvia; Mytilida; Mytilidae. The record is from RNAcentral.